RNAcentral lists this long non-coding RNA (786 nucleotides) under Oryza brachyantha (malo sina). RNAcentral describes it as "long non-coding RNA (OBRA_LNC002610)". The record is from RNAcentral. Lineage: Eukaryota; Viridiplantae; Streptophyta; Magnoliopsida; Poales; Poaceae.
UUAGGCUAGAUCCGUUGUAAAGAUAACUCCGAGAGCUUUCAUCAAGUACCCAUGAACUUAAAACAAGGCCCGUAUGCACACUUAAUGGCCGUUUGAAUAUAGCACUUAUCUGAUAGCCGAAUUGGAUAUCAGAACAUGACCAACUUGAUCUUGAUAUCUUCCUGUUCAAUUCUGAUGCAAGGAACUGUUGUAUCGAGAGUAUCAAUGGUCAUACUAAUUCUGGUCAGUACAUGGCGGCCGUCUCCAUCACGCUAGUCUGGAGAUUCUCAAAUACAAAAAGUAAUGACACCUGGACAGAGUUGAGCACCUCAAGAUGAAACUAAACUACAGUAACAACAAAUGUAAUUUUUCUCCCAACUUGGCAAAGGGAACAUAGGCCACAACAUUAGGAAACAGUUCUAACUGUAACCAGGGAAGCAUAUUCCUACAAAACAUUAUAUACAGAGUCGUCACUGCUAGAUCAAAACUUACUAGAACUAUCUAGAGUAUGCUUUGGCCAUAUGUCAGGAAGAAUUUACCAGAGUAUGCCAAACUGGAGAUGCAACUAGGGAACUAGCUACCGAGGUAAUCAGAAACAUGAUAAUCAUAUAAACUGAAUUCCUUGUGCCUCCCAGUCUUAAUGGGCUUUGUACACUGGGAUGAGUUAAUGAUUCUAAAUAGAGUGAAGUGCACCAGUGGUCCCUAAACUUGUGUGCAUAUGUUAUCUAGGUCCCUGAACUAUCAAAAUAUAUUUUUGGGUCUCCGAACUUGUCUGAAGGUGUCAUAUAGGUCCAAUCGGGCUCCGAC